CCAGAGCUCCCCAUAGGCCUCCACUUGAAGCCCAGUAUGGGGGCUUCAAGCCCUCACCGCCCAGCAACACCCUUCAGAUGCCCUCACUGUGGCAGAAAGGGAGACCAAGGGCUAGAACAGGUGAAGAGGGGCUUCGGGGGGUUCUGCAUCCUCCUUGCAAACCCCACAACCUCCAUGGGCUGAUCACCCACACCUGGACAUUGUAGCAGCUGCCCCAGAGGUGGGUCCCCCCCACCCUGCCAGCUGCUCAGAGCAACCCUUUCUGAGGACCCUGCCCCUCCGUGGCCCCCACAUUUCUCCCUGGUGUGGGUUCUCAGGAGACAACACCCCACAACCAUCAUGUGUCCAGAUGCUAAGAGAUGAACUGGGUUUGUCAUCUCCUAUCUCCAACAGGAUGCAGGUGCAGGUGCCUGGGGUACAAGUGACUGCAGAUUCAGACCUCAGAAUGCACGACACAGGGCCUCACAUCUCUCCCCUCCUACCUCCUGUACCUGGAGCCAAACCCCAGGGACCCAUGGCCCCAGGAAAGCUGAUCAGCAACUGCUCCACACAAUUUCCUGGUAACUGACUCCUGCUCACCCUCAGCACACACACGCCUUGAGCCUCCACCAGACUCUGGGCUUGCAGCCUGGUCGAGGUGGUCUCAUGAACAAGAACAUGUGAUAGGGCUGGAGUGCAGAGGUCAGUGGGAGACACCACACCCAGCCUGGGAGGGGGUGGGGAAUUGGGGAAGGCUUCCUGGAGGAGAUGUCACAAUCAACAAACUGAAGCCUGGGGGGGCGGGGGCCGGGCAGUGGCAAUGGAGUGUGGGAAAGAGAGAGUCACGGGGAGAAGACGGUGGCUGGAGACAUCAGAGAGAAAGGAAGGAGGAAGGCGAGGAUGGCCUUCAUCUAAACCCUGACCUCCAAGUUUUCCACCAAGGCACUGUUCCUGUUCCUGGAGGAACAGAGACCAAGCCAGUAGGUCUUCUGCGUGGUCACUGUGUUUGUCUCCCCACUUCACAGGUGAGAAAACUGAGGCCCCUACACACACACACACACACACACACUCUCUCUCUCUCUCUCUCUCCCUCCCUCCCCCCACCCCAGGCACCUUCAAGAUCAAUCACAGUGCUGGAACUGGGCCCUAGGCCUCUGGACUCCCUAUCCAGUGCUCAUCCCACAUAAGCAUUUCAAGUUGUCUUUCUCCAAGGCACAGCAGUAAGCAUCCCCAAGUGUCCAUCAGUCCAUGAGGACUGCCCUCUGCCCUUACAAGAGGCCCUGGGUCCAUGCACCUGCUAUGUGAGUCGGGCAUGGUCUCCAGCCAUCACCAAGCUAGACUUUUUACUGCACAGGUAGCUGUGGUGAAUGGCUCCAUUGCACAGAUGAGAAAGCUGAGGCCAAGGAUGUGCCCGAAGUCACCUAGCUAGAACAGACAGAGGUGGGCUGUAAGCUUGAUGUUUCUCGCUGCUAUAUCGAUGCCUCCCCAGGGGACAUCCUGUGACAGCAAGGGGCAGGGCACUGGGCUGGUGGCCGCCAGGGUACCAGACAAUGCUGCGUGUCCCCCAAAGGUUCGUGCAUUGGAAACGUAAUCCCCAAAUUCCUGUGUCAGUGGUAUUGGGAGGUGACAAGGAUGAGAUGAGUUCAUGUGGGUAGAAACCCCAGGAUGCAUCUGUGGCUUUAUGAGGUGAGGAAGAGGGGCUGCAGCACAGGUUCAUGUCCCAGCUGUCCCACUUCCUUCCAAUCCAGCUCCCUGCUAUGGCCUGGAAAGGCAGCGGAACAUAGCCCAAGUGCUUGGGCCCCUGCACCCACAUGGGAGCCCCGGGUGCAGUUCCAGGCUCCUGGCUUCAGGCUGGCCCAGCCCUAACUGUUGCAGGCAUUUGGGAAAUGAACCAGUGGAUGAAAGAUUCAUCCCCCCCGCCCCUCCUUCCCUCCAUUUCUCUCUCUCUCUCCCUCUCUCCUUCUCUCCCUCUCUCCCUCUCUCUCUUCUCUUUCUUCUCUCUCCUCUCCUCUUCUCUCUUCUCUCUCUCUCUUUUUGAGAAGCAGAGGGUGGGGGGAGACCCAGGGAGAGGCCCCCAACAUAGAGGUGAAGAGAGCCCCAGAGAAGCUGUGCGUCCUCUCAAACGGAAUUUUCCACGCAGGAAAAAAAAAGAAUGAAGCCGGACAGUCAGGCUUAGAGGUCAAGAGGGAGUGACGGGGAUCUGCCUUCAGAUCCCCAUGGCAACGGCAACAACAACAACGCUGGUAUCUCCAGAGCACGCAGUGAAUGCAGGGCAUCAAGGAAACAGAAGAGCGCCAGGGGGCUAAGAGCACCAGCCUUGAACCCCAGCAUCCAGGGAUGACCUUUGGAGCCACGCCCCUCUCAGAACUUCACGACUCAACUUCGCAUUCCGCGGGGUAGCUGUGUGAGGCGGUGCUUUCACAAACCCAUUUGACAGCGGGGCAAAGUGAGGCAUGCGGAAGUCGCCCAAGACGGCACAGCUGGGCACUGCAGGGACCCAAGCACUUGAGCUGCCCUCUCAGGUCUGCCUCAGCAACAAGCCGGAUUGGAAGCAGGAGAGCAUGAACUUGAACCUGCAUUCUGAUACACAGUGUGGACACACCCGAGAGGCAGCUUCAUUCCCUGCAGCACACUCACAGCCCCAGUGGUGGCUCAGCACCGUCCUGUGAGCUUAGGUGGAGGUGGGAAAGUUGGGGACGGGACACGGAGGCCAACAGUUAUCCUCAUUGGUCUCUGGCUUUGAAUUUCCUGAAUGUGUUGGGUUUUGGGGUUUUUUUUUAGGACUUACUUACUUAUCCAGAGGGAGAGGGAGAAAGAGGGAGAGAGGAGAGGAAACGUCCACCCUCUGGUGCCUUCCCCAAAUGCCCACAACAGCCAGGGCUGAGCUAAGCCAAAGCCAGGAGCCAAGAGCUCCAUCCAGGUCUCUGAGUACCUAGGCCAUCUUCUGCUGCCUUCCCAGGUGCAUCAGCAGGAAGCUGGAUUGGAAGUAGAGCAGCCAGGACUUAGACCCACACUCCAGUAUGGGAUGCCGGUAUCAUGAGUAGUGGCUUAUGCUGCUCUCAUGGAUUUCCUGGCUUUGGAUCCAGCUGGGAUGGAACCACACAGCUCGCACCACUGACCCUCAGCAGCCUCAUCUGCACCUCAGAGCACUGAAUGAGGUGGCAAACCCUGCACGCGGGGCCAGCCCCAGCCCCCCAGGAGGCUUACUGAAGCCUAUAGCACACCUUGGCAGCCGGGGCUUUCCUGGGCUGGGCUGGCCACACCGGGACACUUCCUUGCCAGCGGCUCCUGUGGACACUUGAGAUUAACAGCCCAUUGUUGUGGUGUCACCCGAGCCGGCUGGCUUCCACAGGUGUGCCCAGGAGACCAUGAGGACCAGCCGGGCAUGCUGUCCUAGUGGAAGCAGCGGGGACUUUCCCCUCCCCGAGGUCUCUGCGAGGGCAGGUCAGGGGGAGGUCCACGCUGACCCCUUCCUGGCCGGCCAGCAAAAACAGGACAAUUGUGGGUGUCUGUGGCACCAGUUCCUGUCUGUCUGCUCUGUUUUCCAGUUCAAAGAGCAAGUGUAGCUGUCUCAUUGUCACCAGCUUCCCCCACUCAUUCACUCUCUCGUUCGGCAAAUAUUUACCGAACACCUGCCAUGUGGCAAUGUAUGUGCCCAGCACAAAGGAUGCACACAGAGCAGUGAGGUCUAGGCCUCCUGCCUCUGCAGAAGAAUGAAUCUGCCCAGAACUGGGUGAGCAAGGGACAGGGGGCAGCUCCAGACAGAAGGCUUCUCUGCAGAGGUGAGCUUUGAGCCAAGACUGGAAUGACAAGAGGGUUCCCAUGCCAAGAAAGGCGCGGCAGGCCCAUGGAGUAGUGUGUGCACAAGCUCUGAGGAGCGGGCGGGGUGUGGUGCCGUGGGUGAAGCGGCCCCUCAGAAUGCUGGCUUUGAGCUUCUGCUCCUCUGCUUCUGACCCAGCUCCGUGCUAACGCGCCUGGGAAGGCAGCAGGUGAUGGCCCGAGGACCUGAGUCCCUGCCACCCACAUGGGAGACCCAGAUGGGAUUUCCAGCUUCUGAUUCUCAGCCUCAGCACCAGCCCUGGCUGUCACGGGCAUUGCAGGGAAUGAAACAGGGGAUGCGAGGGCUCUCUCCCCACCUUUCCACCUGUCAAAAUUAAUUCACUAAUUCAAAGUGUUUUGGGUGCAAGAAACUUUCUGAAAGCCAUGCCUACUUCUGUCUCUGUGCCUUUUCCACAUAUUUCUCAAAGGCCUCAUCUACGCCCAGAUUUUUAAAAAAAUGCACCAAAAUAAACAACUUUUCUUUCCA
Molecule: long non-coding RNA, 4285 nt
Organism: Oryctolagus cuniculus (rabbit)
Lineage: Eukaryota; Metazoa; Chordata; Mammalia; Lagomorpha; Leporidae
Source: RefSeq, a predicted model, not a curated record